Molecule: non-coding RNA, 86 nt
Organism: Podarcis lilfordi (Lilford's wall lizard)
Lineage: Eukaryota; Metazoa; Chordata; Lepidosauria; Squamata; Lacertidae
Source: the annotation of a GenBank genome assembly
AGUAGAUAUGUGUGUGUGUGUGUGUGUGUGUGUGUGUACACACACACACACACACACACACACAUAUACAGACAUACAUACAUACA